RNAcentral lists this ribosomal RNA (432 nucleotides) under uncultured bacterium. Its description in RNAcentral is "partial 16S ribosomal RNA". It matches the Rfam family "Bacterial small subunit ribosomal RNA", at positions 29 to 506 of the family's 1533-position model. The record is from RNAcentral.
AACGAACGCUGGCGGCAUGCCUAACACAUGCAAGUCGAACGAGACCUUCGGGUCUAGUGGCGCACGGGUGCGUAACGCGUGGGAACCUGCCCUUAGGUUCGGAAUAACUCCCCGAAAGGGGUGCUAAUACCGGAUAAUGUCUUCGGACCAAAGAUUUAUCGCCUUUGGAUGGGCCCGCGUUGGAUUAGCUAGUUGGUAGGGUAAAAGCCUACCAAGGCGACGAUCCAUAGCUGGUCUGAGAGGAUGAUCAGCCACACUGGGACUGAGACACGGCCCAGACUCCUACGGGAGGCAGCAGGGGGGAAUAUUGGACAAGGGGCGAAAGCCUGAUCCACCAAUGCCGCGUGAGUGAUGAGGGCCUUAGGGUUGUAAAGCUCUUUUACCCGGGAUGAUAAUGGCAGUACCGGGAGAAUAAGCCCCGGCUAACUCCGU